GGCCUGCUAGUAUAACGGCAAUAUACUUGCUUUGGGAGUAAGUGACCCUGGUUCGACCCCAGGGCAGGCCC
Molecule: non-coding RNA, 71 nt
Organism: Truncatella angustata
Lineage: Eukaryota; Fungi; Ascomycota; Sordariomycetes; Amphisphaeriales; Sporocadaceae
Source: the annotation of a RefSeq genome assembly